Molecule: ribosomal RNA, 346 nt
Filed under: uncultured bacterium
Lineage: Bacteria
Description: partial 16S ribosomal RNA
Rfam family: Bacterial small subunit ribosomal RNA
Source: RNAcentral
CCUACGGGUGACAGCAGUGAGGAAUAUUGGUCAAUGGGCGCGAGCCUGAACCAGCCAAGUAGCGUGAAGGAUGACUGCCCUACGGGUGGUAAACUUCUUUUAUAAAGGAAUAAAGUGAGGCACGUGUGCCGUGUUGUAUGGACUUUAUGAAUAAGGAUCGGCUCACGCCGUGCCAGCAGCCGCGGUAAUACGGAGGAUCCGAGCGUUAUCCGGAUUUCGUGGGGUUAAAGGGAGCGUAGAGGGGUUGUUAAGUCAGUUGUGAAAGUUUGCGGCUCCACCGUACAAUUGCAAUUGAUACUGGCAGUCUUGAGUCCAGUUGAGGUAGGCGGACUUCGUUGUGUAGCGG